GCCUCCUUAGUUAAAUGGUAUAACACUUGACUUGUAAUCAUGGAUUGGCAGUUCGAUUCUGUCAGGGGGCACCA
RNAcentral lists this transfer RNA (74 nucleotides) under Burkholderiaceae bacterium. Its description in RNAcentral is "tRNA-Thr". It matches the Rfam family "tRNA". Rfam says of the family: Transfer RNA (tRNA) molecules are approximately 80 nucleotides in length. Their secondary structure includes four short double-helical elements and three loops (D, anti-codon, and T loops). RNAcentral also lists the same sequence under 1 other name. The record is from RNAcentral. Lineage: Bacteria; Pseudomonadati; Pseudomonadota; Betaproteobacteria; Burkholderiales; Burkholderiaceae.